Molecule: non-coding RNA, 1960 nt
Organism: Nothobranchius furzeri (turquoise killifish)
Lineage: Eukaryota; Metazoa; Chordata; Actinopteri; Cyprinodontiformes; Nothobranchiidae
Source: RefSeq, a predicted model, not a curated record
GGUUAGUCGUAGUUCAGCAUUAGCAUAUAGUAUUAGCAUAUCCUAAUCUUUAGCAUAGCUUUUAGUGUUAUACAUACUUAUUUAGUGUUAGCUUGGCUGUUGGAUAUUGUAGUUUAGUUAGUGUUUGGCUGUUAGUGUAAUUAGGAAAAUAGUUCAGGUUUAGUGCUCCAUAUCAUGUUAGCAUGGUGAGAUGGUAUAGUGUAGUGUGGUUGCCGUGGCUCUGUGGGGUUGCACUCCUUUCCACUGGACUUAGAAAUUAGGCGCCAAUGGUUGCGCGCAAUCGGUGUCUGGAAAACAUUCAGCUCCCGCCUGGUGCUGUAGUUUGCAACCAGCAUUUUACCCGCAAUUCUGCACGUCUCCAUUUGAAGAGGGAGGCUGUGCCCACCGUGGCUCUUCCGCAAUUUAGAUGCAGCCCACUGACUCUGCUCCCCCACCAUGGCCGGCUCCAGUCUGAGGUGAGUAAGCUAAAUAAAAGUUUUAACAUCUUCUACAGACAAUUCUCUACCUAAAUGCAAAGUUUGAGAGACGUGGUUCACUUCCUUUAGCUAAUAUCAGCCUGCAUUGCCUUUGGGCUGAGUUGUAAAGUUCACAAAAUGUGGAACGGGAUGUAAGGUUAGAAUCAGUGGCAAAUCGGAACAUAUCUCGCAGCCCUGGCCGACAAAACAGUCCACAUGACUAUUACUGUCAGGCUCGGAGAAAAUUUGGGUUGCUUUUGUGUCAGUCAGUAAUUCUGCAACAGUGACUCUAACUAACGCAGCACUAGCUGACAGACAGCAUUACAGCGUGAAAUCCAGCUUGUGACCCGGUUCCGUGAGGAAUUCUGUUCAGGAGGUCGCAUUUCAGGCUCUUCACAUCAUGUGACUGACUUUUACGUUAGGAUAACGAUCACACACUAGGAAUGUUAUAAAGCGCCUAUAUAGGACAGUUUCUUUUGUAUAUUAUCUGACUUUAUAAACAACAACAAUGUGCUUCUAUUUUUUUUUUCAGGCUAAAUCUGCCCAAGACAUUGGCUGUCAGACUGAUUUUGUAGUCUGCAAGAAUGCAUUUGUCCAGGCUGACGUGAAGCCUUACCCAUAGCAAAGUUGAAUUAUUUUUAAUAAUCUUCUAUGUAAACAUUUUAUUAUUACCUUCUAGUUUUAAUUUGUUUUACAGAUUAUUGUUACACGUGAUUUUAUGCUCUUUUAAACAUUUAUAAAUGUGCUGGUUCUUUGUUUUUUACAUAGCCACCCAGAAUAAAGCUCACAGCCGCAGUGUGUCUUGUGACACAUGGACCAUGAUGGAAAUUCAUCUUCCAGAAAGUCCCAGAGCAGCGUCCACACCCCUGAAAAGACCAAGAUGUGAGGUGUCUGCUGUUGAUUUCAGCUUCCACCUCAGUGACAGUGCAAGCUCAGUGAACUGUUCAAGGUAAAAAAAAAUUAAAACAUUUCAGAAUUUUUAAGAUAUUAACAAUUAAAUAAGUAUGUGAUUACAUCAUGACAUCAUGAAGGAGGCUACUGAUUCUGGCCCUGUGACACUUGGUGGUGACGUGUGAGCUGAUUCACCUGGACACUCAGCAAAAUAUGGACUACACCAUGAGGCAGGCACACGUUAAUACUCUAUAAGAGCACAUAAGCCUGGCUGAUCACCUGAUAACUCAUGUCAUCUGGUUAUGACAGCAUGAGGAUGUCCUCACACACCUGUAACCUAUCAGCUCAUCUGGUGGAAUAGAGAGAGAGACAACACCACAUCUCCUGUUCCUGGAAAGCCUUCAGCCAUCCUUCGAUGACUGAGAACCUCCAUCAUCUCUGUCUCCUGUCUGCCUACAAUUAUUAUAAUAAAUAUUGUGUUUGACAAGUUUUUUGUGCUGCCAAAUAUCUCAUUUUGAUUCCAGUUUUGAUAUUUUAAUGGAUAUUUAUAAAUUACAUUAAUUGAAUUAUCACAUUGUUGCAUGUUUAACUAGCUCUAUUGUGAUUAAUUAAAC